CCAGACUCCUACGGGAGGCAGCAGUGAGGAAUAUUGGUCAAUGGUCGGGAGACUGAACCAGCCAAGCCGCGUGAGGGAUGAAGGUACAGAGUAUCGUAAACCUCUUUUGUCAGGGAGCAAGGUGCAGGUCGGGACCUGCUGUGAGAGUACCUGAAGAAAAAGCAUCGGCUAACUCCGUGCCAGCAGCCGCGGUAAUACGGAGGAUGCGAGCGUUAUCCGGAUUUAUUGGGUUUAAAGGGUGCGCAGGCGGAGGCCAAGAUCAGGGGUAAAAUGGCGGGGCUCACCCCCGCUCCGCCGUUGAAACUGUGUCCCUUGAGUGCGCGAAGGGUAGGCGGAAUGCGUGGUGUAGCGGUGAAAUGCAUAGAUAUUGCGCAGAACUCCGAUUGCGAAGGCAGCAUACCGGCGGCGAUCUGACGCUGAGGCACGAAAGCGUGGGUAUCGAACAGGAUUAGAUACCCCCGUACA
This 465-nucleotide ribosomal RNA is filed under the name uncultured bacterium. RNAcentral's name for it is "bacterial SSU rRNA". It matches the Rfam family "Bacterial small subunit ribosomal RNA", at positions 331 to 794 of the family's 1533-position model. The record is from RNAcentral.